Long non-coding RNA from Phyllostomus discolor (pale spear-nosed bat), 1102 nucleotides. RefSeq lists it as uncharacterized. Lineage: Eukaryota; Metazoa; Chordata; Mammalia; Chiroptera; Phyllostomidae. The record is from RefSeq and is a predicted model, not a curated record. The transcript has 2 exons.
GGGGCCGCAACGACCCGCAGGAUUGGGUCCCCGACCUGGCAUACGCGUGUGUACGGCGGCUUGGGUGCUCCCCGCACAAGACGCCGCAGGGAAAGCCAGAGUGACAGGCUCAAGGCUUGACUCUUCCACCGGGAGUUCUGAUGCUGGAGCUGUGGGCUCCGGCACUGGCUCCUUUUCAUCUAGACAGAAAACCACCUCUCUCUUCGGCAGGAUGAAGGCGAGCGGCUCCUGGACGACGCUGAUGUUCACAUGUCCAAGGUUUCCGUACUUGGAGAGCUGAGUGGGUGGAAUGCCUGACCCAGAUGGUAGGCAAAGUGAAAUGGAAAAAACAUUUAACAAGUGUAUAUACUGAUGUGUUACAGGAAAAAAACUGUGGAAGUAACUGACACAAUUACCGUAUUUCAAUAUAAUAAGUGACAUUGGACAGGAUUCUAUACUGUAAAGCAAGACUUUGAAGGUAAUCCAGAACAGCACUGCAGGGCAGAUGGAGUAAGGGGAGUAAGAGCCAAGAGAACCUCAGUAGGCACAGGCUUCCUGUGUCAGGCCCAAGAGAAAUGCUGGGUCCAGCGGGAAGUGAGGGGUGGGGCGGAAGUGGGGAGCGGCCACUCUUUGCUUGUGUGAGCACUGGCCCACUGCCUUUUGGGAAGUUCCAUCUCCCCCAUUCUCCACACCCCCCCCCCCCCCCCCCGCCCCCAGGGCAGAGAGUGAAUAUAGGAAAGUGAGGGCAAGCUGGGAAAUCAUACAAUAUGUGGUUCUUUUGUGAUUAGCUUCUUCCACUUAGCCAGAUAUACACAUAUUAUAUAAUUCCAUUUAUAUGAAAUGUCCAGAAAAAGCAAAUCUAUUGCAUCAGAAAGUAGAUAAAUGGUUGCUGGGGGCUAAAAAUGGGACAAGAGAAUGAUUACUGGGCGUGAGGGAUCUUUUUGGCGUGAUGGAAAUGUUCUAUAAUUGGAUGGUAGUAAUGGUUGUACACCUCUGUUCAUUUACUAAAGCAUAUUGAAUUUUACAAAUGGGUGAAUUAAUUAUGUGAAUUAUAUCAAUAAAGUAGCUUUAAGGGUCUUUUCUGCUUUCUCUUACCUAAUGUCUGUGCUAUCUGAGCUGGUGG